GGGGCUGUAGCUCAGGUGGGAGAGCGCAUGACUGGCAGUCAUGAGGUCAGGGGUUCGAUCCCCCUCAGCUCCACCA
RNAcentral lists this transfer RNA (76 nucleotides) under Acidobacteriota bacterium. Its description in RNAcentral is "tRNA-Ala". It matches the Rfam family "tRNA". From Rfam's summary of the family: Transfer RNA (tRNA) molecules are approximately 80 nucleotides in length. The record is from RNAcentral. RNAcentral also lists the same sequence under 3 other names. Lineage: Bacteria; Pseudomonadati; Acidobacteriota.